GAUGAACGCUAGCUGGAGGCUUAAUACAUGCAAGUCGAGCGGGAUUGGGUAGCAAUACCCAUGAGAGCGGCGCACGGGUGAGUAACGCGUACACGACCUACCUCUAACAGGGGGAUAGCCCUGGGAAACUGGGAUUAAUACCGCAUAUAAUUCUGAAUAAUAAAGGGUUGGAAUGAAAGCUGAGGCGGUUAGCGAUGGGUGUGCGUCUGAGUAGCUAGUGGGUAGGGUAACGGCCCACCAAGGCCAUAAUCAGUAGGGGGCGUGAGAGCGUGGUCCCCCACACGGGUACUGAGACACGGACCCGACUCCUACGGGAGGCAGCAGUAAGGAAUAUUGGUCAAUGGGCGAAAGCCUGAACCAGCCAUCCAGCGUGCAGGAAGAAGGCCCUAUGGGUUGUAAACUGCUUUUAUCAGGGAAGAAACCUCUGGAUUUACUCCGGAGCUGACGGUACCUGAAGAAUAAGCACCGGCUAACUCCGUGCCAGCCGCCGCAGUAA
This 496-nucleotide ribosomal RNA is filed under the name uncultured bacterium. Its description in RNAcentral is "partial 16S ribosomal RNA". It matches the Rfam family "Bacterial small subunit ribosomal RNA", at positions 28 to 523 of the family's 1533-position model. The record is from RNAcentral.